CGGACUGCAGGCUGCAACUCGCCUGCACGAAGUGGAAUUGCUAGUAAUCGUGGAUCAGCAUGCCACGGUGAAUACGUUCCCGGGUCUUGUACACACCGCCCGUCACACCAUGGGAGCCGGUAAUACCCGAAGUCAGUAGUCUAACCGCAAGGAGGACGCUGCCGAAGGUAGGAUUGGCGACUGGGGUGAAGUCGUAACAAGGUAAC
RNAcentral lists this ribosomal RNA (206 nucleotides) under uncultured bacterium. Its description in RNAcentral is "partial 16S ribosomal RNA". It matches the Rfam family "Bacterial small subunit ribosomal RNA", at positions 1294 to 1500 of the family's 1533-position model. The record is from RNAcentral.